This 552-nucleotide small RNA is filed under the name Pongo abelii (Sumatran orangutan). Its description in RNAcentral is "retained intron". Lineage: Eukaryota; Metazoa; Chordata; Mammalia; Primates; Hominidae. The record is from RNAcentral.
GUUGAUCGUCUUGGACUCCUAUAUGAGAGUCGCGAGUGUGCAGCAGGUGGGUUGGUCACUUCUGUGCAAAUUAAUAGAAAUCUGUCCAGGUACAAUGCAAAGCUUAAUGGGACCCCAGGAUGUUGGAAAUGAUUGGGAAGUCCUUGGUGUUCACCAGUAAGUAUGAUAUGUAAAAUAAACUGCCUUGAGUAUUUAUCUAUACACAUGACAACCUUCCCUUGAUACAUUGUAUUUGCAAUCCAAGGCUACUCUUGUGGAAUUCUUUAAAAUACAGAUAUUUUUCCUUGAGUCAAUGAUUUACAUUUAUAGAGAGCUUUAAAUUUAGAAGUUUGAUUUAGAAAGCAAACAUUUAAGGUAACAUGUCAGAAGUUAUUAUUUUGAUAAUAUAAUCAUAUAAUUAUAAAACUGGUUAAGUUGUAGAUUUUUGAUGAGUAUUUUUGAAUUCAAACCAUGAAGAGAUUUUGCCUUUUAAUAAUAGAACUGUUACAAACCACUAGUUCUUAAAAAAAUGGGAACUGAGAAAAGUUAGUUCUGUAAGUAGUAAUUUGAAAG